GUGCCAGCAGCCGCGGUAAUACGAACCGUCCAAACGUUAUUCGGAUUCAUUGGGCUUAAAGGGUAUGUAGGCGGCGCUGUCAGUCGGGUGUGAAAGCCCUCGGCUCAACCGAGGAACUGCGCCCGAUACUGCAGCGCUUGAGGGAGACAGAGGUAAGCGGAACUGAUGGUGGAGCGGUGAAAUGCGUUGAUAUCAUCAGGAACACCGGUGGCGAAAGCGGCUUACUGGGUCUCUUCUGACGCUGAGAUACGAAAGCUAGGGGAGCGAAGGGGAUUAGAUACCCCCGUAGUCCUAGCUGUAAACGAUGAGCACUUGACCGUGGGGCCCCCCAUAGCCUCUCGGUCGUAGCGAAAGUGAUAAGUGCUCCGCCUGGGGAGUAUGGUCGCAAGGCUGAA
This 395-nucleotide ribosomal RNA is filed under the name uncultured bacterium. Its description in RNAcentral is "bacterial SSU rRNA". It matches the Rfam family "Bacterial small subunit ribosomal RNA", at positions 505 to 898 of the family's 1533-position model. The record is from RNAcentral.